CUGGUUUCUCUUCAGAUCGUAUAAAUCUUUCGCCUUUUACUAAAGAUUUCCGUGGAGAGGAACCCAAUUUUUUGAGGUCCUGCCUGUGCAGGACU
Psammomys obesus (fat sand rat) is the source of this 95-nucleotide small nuclear RNA. RefSeq annotates it as U5 spliceosomal RNA. NCBI's taxonomy places the organism in Eukaryota, Metazoa, Chordata, Mammalia, Rodentia, Muridae. The transcript has a single exon. The record is from RefSeq and is a predicted model, not a curated record.